Long non-coding RNA from Piliocolobus tephrosceles (Ugandan red Colobus), 4077 nucleotides. RefSeq lists it as uncharacterized. NCBI's taxonomy places the organism in Eukaryota, Metazoa, Chordata, Mammalia, Primates, Cercopithecidae. The transcript has 3 exons. The record is from RefSeq and is a predicted model, not a curated record.
GACUGGCUCUGAUGAGAGGUUCAUUUUCCUUUCUUUGUGCAGGUGACAAAUUCUACCGCCAAUAAUCACUUGUGAAAAAUCAACAGUGAAGCCCAGCGGCUCCCGGCCCCGGAGAAAUUUGAGUGGAUUUCCGGAAGAGCAAGGUGGAAAAAACCCAGGGGCAGCAGUGGGACCCAGGACUGGGGGGGCCCGGGAGGGAGGACUCCGCUCAGCAGAGCGCAGGACAGGGCUGCACCUCGGGGGAGGGCCCCACUGCACCCCCCUCCUCCCAUCGCAUCACAGAGCCUUUGCAUAGGAUGAUCCCUCUGCCUGGAAUGGCCCUUCUUCUCCCCCUCCUGUGCAAGAGGACAGGGGGUGCGCAGGAGACACUGGGGAACAGGUGCUGCUAGAGGGAGGCUAGAGAAAGGGCAGUAAUGGCAGAAAGGGGCAGAUGGGCCUAUUCUGAAGGACUGAAUGCUGGGGAGGAGCUGGGUCACCUGCAGGACAAUAGGGAGCCAUGGAAGGUUUUUGAGCAGGGGAUGGAUAUGUAGAAAGCUCUGCUUCACUCGGCUUGUCCGUGCCUCUUCAAGUCUUCAGGGGAAGACUUGCUCGGUCUCCAUGGACCCAAGCCCUCAUCCUUUCUUGGGAAGGAGUGUAAAGAAUGAAUGGAGGUGCGGCGGUGAUGGGGGGGCGAGGGGACAGGUUGGGAUGACUAACGCAGAUGGCGGGCCACUCCUGUGCCUGUCUUAUGUCAGGGUCAGGGCUCCUACAGGGCAGUGCAAAUGGCGAGUGGGUGAGCCGGGCUUGGAGCCCAGGUCUGUCUGACCACAAGGCCCCAGCUGGAGGAGGAUCCUGGUAGCGACCUGCCUGUGGGAAGAAUUCCCCUAAAUGGUCUCAUUUGUGCCUCUUCCUCAUUCUGAGGAGGGGCUCUGUCCUCACUGACCCAUUUUGCAGACGAGGAAACCAAGGUUCAGAACUGUUAGGGGUUUGAGUUCACCAACGAAACCAGUAUUUCUGGCUUCUGAAGCACUGCUUGGCACGUGGCAGGUGCUUAACGAAGGGAUGGGAGUCAGGCUUUGAGGCUUUGGACUCCAGAAUCAGUUCUCUCCAAAUAGCACCCAAGAGAUUUCUCUGAGAUGGGGCUGUUCUCAGACAGUGUGAAAACCCCAGAAAUAGAAUUUUCCGGGAAACCUUCAACCAUCUUGGAAAUAUGGCCCAGUGAGGGAAGGUGGCUUGCCUAGGGCUGCACAGCACACCAGUGACAGAGCAGGGACCAGGACCCAGGGCUUUAGACUUUCCCUCCUCCUCUAGGCCCAGGCUGGUGAGCACAGUGGGCUCAGCCCAGAGCUGGAGAGGAAAGGCAGGUACUGCCUACCUAGUUCCGUCCUCCACAGCUGCACAGGAGGACCUGAGACAGGCAAGGAGAGAGGAUGCCUGGCCAUAGUGGUGGAGCAGCAGGACUCCAGAGGGGACAGCAGUAAGUCCAAUCUCUGCCCUGCUGCCCUCCAUCCAUCUAGUUCUCUCCUAGACUUCAGCUUCAGACAGACGUGGUUUGAAAGCUGCAGCCCCGGCCUUCCUCAACUGUGUGACCUUGGCUACGCCCACGUGCCCAUUGCCUCACCUGGGCCUCACUUUUCUCAUCUGUACCAUGGAGUUGGCACCCCUGGCUCUGGCCUCAAGGUUUGCCGCGCCUGCAGAGGCCCCUGAGCAUUCAGCAGGUACUCACUCAGUGGGAGCUGCCAGACGCUGAAUGUGUGAUGGGAAUCAUUGGAUCCGGCCGCCUCUCCACCCACCCGCCACCUGACACCGCCUCCUGGCUCUCCAUCACUGCCCAGGAGUCGGGCAGCCUCCCCGCUCCCUGCUAUUUCUUCUCUGGAGCUUCCCAGGAGGUUAAUAGCAGCUUCUCACCAGGAUAUUGGGCUUUUUUUAGGAAUCUCCUUGCCUCUUUCUUCUCUGUGAGGAUAUUCUCAGGAUGGCUGUGGCACAGGAGGGAAGGAAGGAGACUCUCUAGGCAUUUGCCAACUAAGAGGGGCACUUAGGAGUAGGUGGGGUGCCAGUUCCAGGCAGGACUUGGGGCAGACAGUGCCCUGUUUCCAGAACAGCUCCCAGUGCUGGGCUAGGCUGGGCUUAAAUGCAGUGGGAGAAGCUCAGGGGUGGGGUGGGGUCACAGGCUCCACUUGGAAUGGACCAGGUCAUUUGACUAUGGGGGUGUCUGUGAGCCUGGUGGGGCCUCAGUCUCCCCUCCUGGAAGGUAGGCCUGAUGGUCUAUGCCAGCCUCUAAAGGAAGGGAAAGAGUUUCGCUGAGCUGCAGAUGGAGGUGCAGACAAGGUGAGGGGCUGGGUGUCGGGGGAGGCCAGCGGAGCGCCCAGGACCCCUCUGGCUCCACCCCAGGUCCUUGGGCUCCACCUGCUCUCAGCCCUGUCCUGAGCUCAGGAAUGGUCCCAGGACUGAGAAGGAGGUCAAAACUCUGCAGCCCUUCCACUACUACUUCGGGGGGCUCAGCACAGCUCCUCCGGGCUCAUGUCCCCAGGCCCUUCCCUGGUGUGACCCCCCCAACCAGCCCCGCACAGGAGGGGAGGUCCACCUCUUAUGUGUGUGUUUUAAAUUGCAGUAAAAUGUACGUAACAUGAAAUUGACCAUUUUAGCUUUGUAAGUAUACAGGUCUGUGGCAUUCGGUACAUUCACAAUCCCGUGUGGCCAUGACCAUCAUCCAUUUCCGGGGCUUCUGCAUGAUCCCGAAUAGAAGCUUGCACGCCCUGUGCCACGCCCCUCCCACCUCAACCCCCCGUAACCGCUGGUCUUCGUCUCUAUGAAUUAAACUAUUCCAGACUGGUAAACUGAGGCACAGAGAGGCUACGGGACUCUCUCCAGCUGUGCGCCCCUUCUCACCGCCUCUCUGUUCUGCCUGUCCCUGUGAGGGUGGAAGUAUGCCGGCCAUGCCCACGCUUCACUGAGGAAGAGAGACAGCAGCCCCACGGUGCUAUGAGCCCCCAGGAUUAAGACCUCCAAGUUUGGUGCUCACAUAUUCAGUGGAGCCACACAGCACUGCCCAGGAGAGCCCAGGGCCUGAGUCGGGCCAAGGUUUAAUGGGGAGCAACCAGGGACCGCCAAGCCUCUUUUCGGGUCCCAGUGUCUCUUUUCUGAGGGUGACUCUGUAACUAGGCCCUGAGGAUUGCCUUGGGCUAUGCUGACACCUCUGGAUUGUCUGGGUAAGGGAGGGGACAGGCGUGGAGUCAGCAACAAGGCCCAAGAGGCCACCCAGGGCAAAGGAGAACCUGAUAAGGGCCUCUGGCCUCCAGGUGACCCACACUGCCUGGCACAGCCUCCACCCCCAUGCCCUGCUGGGCCUCCCAGGCUCCAUUUGUGUGUGUGACUGGGGAGGGCCAGGGUGGCUGGGAAGAUUUUAGGAUAUGGGAAACACAUUUAUUACGCUUUCAACGUAAGCCUGGGGACCCAACAAAAUCAGGCAUCUGGUAAAGGGAAGGAAAAAUGAAAGAUCUUUCCUGGGCCCCACUCACCUUCUUACGCUAAUACUUAAGACCUUUUGUGAUCUGGCCCAGUCCAUACGUCCAUCUGCCAGUCUGGUCCUCCACUCCUUGAUCCUUCCAUGGAGUCAUGCAUUCGGUAAGUAUUGACUGAAGACGCCUCCACCCAGGCACAGCGUCAGUCUCUGGAGCCACGGCUGCAGCUGUGAGGAAGGCAGAUGUGCCCUGCCCUCCUGGAGUUCCUGAGCUGGGGUCCUACGGCAACACCCAGCAUGAAGCAAAUAAUCAGAUGAUGCCUAAGUACAGGCAGUGCCCAGGGCUUUGGGGGAGCCAGGGCCUUGUGAGGGAUGAGGAAGCAAGCUGGAUGAAGACUGGGAGUCACAGAGGGUGCCGCUAAGAGGCUGCUGAGCAGAGGGAUAGAUGGAGCCAGCCAGGCAAAGGGCUUCAGAAAGAUCAGUCGGGGCAGGGGGAACAGCAUGCAACAUGGCCCGGAGGUGCCAAAGAAUUCAGUGAGUCUGAGGAACCUGGAGGUCAGGCAGCGUCGGCCAUCAUCAGUGAAGAACAGCUGGGGCAAUGGGGCCAGGGACUGCGCAGGGGUCACUCACUCAGGACU